UAAGCAAGUCGGAUGAUCGCUCCGCAAGGAGAGGAAAGUCCGGGCACCAUAUGAGCAAGGUAGUUGCGAAACGCAACCGGUCGAAAGGCCCGAGCCAGUGCCACAGAAACAUAUACCGCCUCAAUUUAUUGAGGUAAGGGUGAAAAGAGUGGGGUAAGAGCCCACAGCGUUUGCCGGUGACGGUAAAUGGAGGUAAACCUUACUUGGUGCAAGUCCGGUGGGCUGAAGUUUUCCUAGAUUGUGUCUUAGCUUUGCGAAAGCAAGGUGUGGCUCUAAAAUAGCGAGGUGUUGCUCGCACUGAAAACUAAGGUCCGGACGCACAGAUAGAUGAUCAUCGAUAACAGAACCCGGCUUAUAGACUCGCUUAGCAA
Molecule: RNase P RNA, 371 nt
Filed under: bacterium
Lineage: Bacteria
Description: RNase P RNA component class A
Rfam family: Bacterial RNase P class A
About the family: Ribonuclease P (RNase P) is a ubiquitous endoribonuclease, found in archaea, bacteria and eukarya as well as chloroplasts and mitochondria. Its best characterised activity is the generation of mature 5'-ends of tRNAs by cleaving the 5'-leader elements of precursor-tRNAs. Cellular RNase Ps are ribonucleoproteins.
Source: RNAcentral